UCUCAAAAAAAAAAAAAAAAAAAAAAAAAAAAAAAAGAAAUAAAAGUUCCCACAGUGCCAUGAAAUGCAAAUGCCAGUGCACUGGGGCAGCACACUCAGGUGGGAGCUUGCAGACCUAUGAGCUGAAAUGUUCAUCGCAGCCCGGGCAGCCCCUCCAGGCCCGCAGUACAGGUCACCUGCUAUACUGACUAUAAAAAUGACCAUGGCUUCUACACCAAACCUCCUCAGUGUUGCCAGAGAAAGCAUUUCUUUUAAGCCUCUUUCCCUCCAUUAAAAAAUAAAACAAUAGCAAACUCUUCAGGCAAUUACAACAUAGGAUGGAUCUAAAAUACCAAACUGAUGUUUUGCCUUAUUCACCAUUACUCAAAACAGAUCUGCAGGGAGAGAAUAUGCUGCUGCAGCUAACGUGGGCUGGCUUCUCUAUGUCAUGCACAAAGACCCGGAUGGUAGCCUGACCCAGUGUGGGUCACUGGGGAGUCAACCGACAUCAUGACAAUAACCACAAUAAAUGUAACAAUGCUUGUUAUUAUUACAAUAGUCACAAUAGCUGCCACUUAUUAGCACUGACCUAAGCCAACCCAGGGCUAGGCACUUCUGACACGUUAUUUUCCUUAAUCUGUUCACACCUUGAGAAAAGUACUGUCAUCAUCCUUAAAGAGUAAAUUAAGGUUUACAGAAGCUACAUAACUCUACAAGAUGUGAAAGCUAGUAAGAGCUAGCGCAUUCAAAUCUCUAACCACCAAACCUAUUUCUCCAGGUGCCUGUAGACCAAGGAGGGUGGCCUGAGCAAUUCCACCCUCCUUGCACCAAAUAACCUCCAGCCCAAACGGAUUGUGCUGGAUGGAGAGUCACAACGAACAUAUGCCCAGUUCAGGACCAUCUGGUGUCAGUGGCAGGGCGCCGACUCCCAGACGAGACAAAAGUUCUCAUUUCUUUGGGUUUGGGAUUGGAUGGGGUUUUUGUGAUGUUGCUGUAUGGCUGUCAGUUUCCUGGUUGGUGUUCCUUUAAGGACAGCACAACUAUUGGUGCAGGAUGUGUACACGAGGAAGGCAGUCUGGGGUUCACUGGCCAAGGGCAAACCACACGAGCACUGUGCAGGCACAACACAUUUUAGUUUUUGAAGAGUACGCUGGAGGGUGUGACCCUGGGUCUCUCCACAGUCCUGGACUCUUGGCGGGCCAAGCUCAGUGCCAUGUAUGUUGCCAGAGGAAAGGGAGCCCUCGAAGAAGCAGAAUUCCUACCUAUGUAUUAAGUUAUGGGAUUCACCUCCCACAAUUCCAGAUGACAGUGUGCCUAACAUUUAAAAAAUAAUUUUGCUGUGAUUGGAAUUGCCACACUUGGAAGUGGAAGCAGGGCCCCCAGCGUCCCCCUGGCUUCCCAGGCAGCUCCUCCCUGGGGCUGGCGGUUGUCAAUGUCUUUUCACAGAAGCAGCUGCCUGCGUCUCUGUAAGGCAGGAAGGAAGCAGGAAGGAGGCAGGAAGGAGGCAGGAAGGAGGCAGGAAGGAAGCAGGAAGGAGGCAGGAAGGAGACAGGUGAUCCGGGACACGCUGCAUUCUCUCCUUAGAGGCCUGCAGGACACAGGCAGCUCCUCUGGCAUCUGAGACCAGCGUUUCCUAAAGGUGAUGGUGAGAAAGUGUUUUUCAUCUCAGCCACCUCCAGGUAACUGCAGCCCCUUUUGUAAGUCUCAGAGCAUGUUCUGUAAGUCUCAGAGCAUGUUUUGUAAAUCUCAGAGCAUGUGAAUUCUGACCUGCAAAACCCUCCUUGCACCAUUUCCCCGGCCUAGAACACUCUCUUCCCCAAGUCCUCCUCUGGCUUUGAACAUAGCUCAGUUACUCCUCGGAUACUCCGGACCACAGCAAGUGCACAGCAAUCUCUCUGAAUGUCUGUGGCAUUCACUAACUGUAUUAUUCAUUUGGUGCAAGUAUGUGUUACCUGUUGUCUGUCACUAUUUGCAUCACAGCUCUCCGAGUAGACAGCACAUUUCUUCAGGGUAGGCAGUGUGACUUAUUUACCUUAUGUUCCAAUGUUUAGUACAGGAUUUAGUACACGGUAGGUGCUGAAUGAAUGUCUGUGGGUGCGAAUAACGAUGCUGCCAUUAUCUUGGUAUCAGGUAAGAAAAUUAAAGAAAUUCUAACCUGCAAUGACAGCCGCAGUUUUUCAAAAUUUUCUUCCAAUUCUUUCUUUUCAAGCUCAUGAGUGGACAUCAAUUCUGGAAAGAGGACAUGAAACUGUUACGUUGGUCUUUCUUUUGAAAAGGAUACCACAAGGCUCUUUUGGCAGACUAAGAACCGUGACUUCAGGAUCACUCUUCCUUCCCACUGCAAAGCAGCCAUCUGUGGCUGAGCAAAGCAGUGGAGCUGCGAGCAGCCAUCCUGCCAGCCGGGCUCACCAGCCAGGCUCAGUGCUGCGUCUACACGGACACCUUGGUAGCCUCUUGGCUGCCCUCUGAGAACCACACAUCCCUGGGAUUUGCUUCAGCAAUGAUUUGGUGUGAAGACAACUCAGAUGCAAGGAAGAACUAAUUGGACUGAUUCCUCUUGGAGGGUCUGAAACAACUCUGUUCCGUGAAAAGUGUCAUCCCAGCAAUGCUUUGAGCCAACAGAAAAAAAUGCAGCAGGAGGGAAAGACAGGAAAGGAGGAACAAUAGAGGAAGGGGGGCUCCACACACCUGCAGCGGGAAAGGCUGGGCUUGCACCACCCCACCCCUGCCUGCUGCACACCAGGCUGGGAGCUACCUUGGACUUUGUGGUCGUGGUCAUCCUGCAGGAUUGUGAUGGCAACUGUGUGGUUAUUUUCCAUCUCGAGGAGAGCAGCCUCAUGGCUGGUGGUGAGAUCUUCCACCUGGAGGAGAGUCGCAGUUACCGGUUAGACAGAGAGCUGCUUGGAGAACAGAAGUGGAAUUCCGUGAGUGGAAAAGGUCCAUGACCUGAAACAUCAAUGACAAGUCACAGCCUCGUGCCGAAGCAGGCGAGUUGGACUUUGGUGGUGAUGUGGCAGCCCUCAGAGUCAAGAGGAGGUCACUGCCACAACCUGGCUCUUUGCAGGAGGAUCCAACUCCAGGCAGGGGAUCACUGCCUGAGGUACCUCUUUAGAGUCCUGAGUGCGGCUCCUGGACCAUCCCCUUCCCACUCCUAGUCCAUCCCCUUCCACCGCUAUGAGCGAUGACGGCAAAGGAAAAGAAAAGGUUCCUCCCUACGAGGUGGUCUGUUUCCCAGAGGCAGGGGGAGCUACAGUACACAAGGUCAACGGAGGGAACGAAUACUUAUUAGGCUGCCCGAGAUACGUUACUCUACUUAACCCUCAGAGCCACCUUCUGAAGUAGAUCUUUUUAUGCCCAAUUGACAGAUGUGGAAACUGAGGCUCAGAGAAAUUUGAAAUGUUUUGCCCAAGGGUUAAUAAAUGGCAGAGCUAGCAGUGAGACCCAGGUCUGUCUGACUUCAAAGGUGAAGCUCUUUCGAAUGCACUAUUGUUUUGUGUUGACCUCCCCCAAGCAAGACCAGCAACGGACACCUUAGGAUUCUCUCGCCAAUACCAGGUUUACCAAGAAGCUCACUGAGAGGUAACACAAACAGCCAAGGAACAUGAAAAGACGCUCAGUGCCCCUGCAAAUGGAAGCAGGAAAUCAUUUUUCAUCUACAAGGCUGAUAAAGAUGAAAUGUUCUGAUAAUACAGGAAGAGUAUGAGGAAACUGUCACUCGAUGGACUGCAGGUGAAACAUAAUUGAUACGGCUGCCUUGGAGGGCAAAGAUAUCUUUCAAAAUUUAAAUGACAGGGACGGCAGCAUUAUGGGUGGGAGAUAAAGAAUCUGAGUUUCUUUCAGGGGUGAUGAAAAUGUUCUAAAACGGAUUGUGGUGACAGCUUUCCACAACUCAGAAUAUACUGAAAACCACCAAAUUGUAUACUUUCAAUGGGCGGGUUGUAUGGUAUGUGAAUUAUAUCUCAAUAAAAUUUUUACCAAAAGA
This is a non-coding RNA of Chlorocebus sabaeus (green monkey), 3961 nucleotides long. The record is from RefSeq and is a predicted model, not a curated record. NCBI's taxonomy places the organism in Eukaryota, Metazoa, Chordata, Mammalia, Primates, Cercopithecidae.